Molecule: microRNA precursor, 86 nt
Filed under: Triticum dicoccoides
Lineage: Eukaryota; Viridiplantae; Streptophyta; Magnoliopsida; Poales; Poaceae
Description: pre miRNA mir-2973
Source: RNAcentral
UAGUCAAAUGGAUGACCGAGAACUAUGUGCGCUCCCUAUAAACCGAGACGGGGAGCGCACGUAGUUCUCGGUCAUCCAUUUGACUA